This 254-nucleotide ribosomal RNA is filed under the name uncultured bacterium. Its description in RNAcentral is "partial 16S ribosomal RNA". It matches the Rfam family "Bacterial small subunit ribosomal RNA", at positions 524 to 776 of the family's 1533-position model. The record is from RNAcentral.
UACAGAGGUCCCAAGCGUUGUUCGGAUUCACUGGGCGUAAAGGGCGCGUAGGUGGCCCGGUCAGUUCGUGGUGAAAGCGCGGGGCUCAACCCUGCGUCGGCCAUGAAUACUGCCGCGGCUGGAGCACUGUAGAGGCAGGCGGAAUUCCGGGUGUAGCGGUGGAAUGCGUAGAGAUCCGGAAGAACACCGGUGGCGAAGGCGGCCUGCUGGGCAGUUGCUGACACUGAGGCGCGACAGCGUGGGGAGCAAACAGG